CGGCGGUGGGCGAGCCGUGCAGCAGCUGCUCCAGGCAGGCGGUGCUGGGCAGCGAGGAGCUCUUCUGGUGGGACAGCCAGUUCCGGGCAGCGGGGGAAACCGAGGCCGCGGCGGCGUUACUGAGAGUGCGGUGGAGGCAGAGACGGGGAUGCCCGGCCGGGGAGCGCGGGAGAGGCGGCGCGGAGAAGGGCUGCGGGUGCCCUGCCCGGGCGCCGCGCCCUGGGGACAUCCCCGGGGGUGACGCGGUGACAGCGGCCGCUGCCCGGUGACCUUGCGGUGCGGUGCCGCGGGGUGAGUCGCGUUAACAGCGUCCGUGCAGCGCGGUGAGCGCUACGGAACGCUCCGGCGGCUGUGCCGAAGGUGUCUGCAGGCAAAUCCGUCCUGUGGCGGCUGAGGGCACGCAGCACGCCUGGUUAUUGGAUCCAUCGCUCCAUUUUGGAUGCUUAAUGCCGCUUGAAGUUUCUUUUUUCAAUUAAAGAAAUACCAGCAGGAUGGUUUCAGAACAAACUGACAUGAAUAAAUACUUCUGUAUGAAGUGAGCCACACCUCUGCUUGGAUUUUGGCUAUCGUUUAUGUCCAAAUCACUUGC
Gallus gallus (chicken) is the source of this 589-nucleotide long non-coding RNA. Lineage: Eukaryota; Metazoa; Chordata; Aves; Galliformes; Phasianidae. The record is from Ensembl.